Molecule: ribosomal RNA, 253 nt
Filed under: uncultured prokaryote
Description: partial 16S ribosomal RNA
Rfam family: Bacterial small subunit ribosomal RNA
Source: RNAcentral
UACGUAGGGUGCGAGCGUUAAUCGGAAUUACUGGGCGUAAAGCGUGCGCAGGCGGUUUUGUAAGACAGGCGUGAAAUCCCCGGGCUCAACCUGGGAACUGCGUCCGAUACUGGAUGGCUUGAAUCCGGGAGAGGGAUGCAGAAUUCCAGGUGUAGCGGUGAAAUGCGUAGAUAUCUGGAGGAAUACCGGUGGCGAAGGCGGCAUCCUGGACCGGCAUUGACGCUGAGGAGCGAAAGCCAGGGGAGCAAACGGG